RNAcentral lists this ribosomal RNA (253 nucleotides) under uncultured bacterium. RNAcentral's name for it is "partial 16S ribosomal RNA". It matches the Rfam family "Bacterial small subunit ribosomal RNA", at positions 524 to 776 of the family's 1533-position model. The record is from RNAcentral.
UACAGAGGUGGCAAGCGUUGUUCGGAAUCACUGGGCGUAAAGCGCACGUAGGCGGAUUGCUAAGUCAGGGGUGAAAUCCUGGAGCUCAACUCCAGAACUGCCUUUGAUACUGGCGACCUUGAGUCCGGGAGAGGUGAGUGGAACUGCGAGUGUAGAGGUGAAAUUCGUAGAUAUUCGCAAGAACACCAGUGGCGAAGGCGGCUCACUGGCCCGGUACUGACGCUGAGGUGCGAAAGCGUGGGGAGCAAACAGG